UUCUGUAUCCCCUGCGCUGCCAGCUGCCCUGCGGCUGCCAGAGCGGCUCCUGGAAGCGUGGGUAUGGCUGGCAUGAAGUGGCAUCGACGCUGCUGGCAGGAGGGGGCUGCUCUUGCUGUAGCAGGGAAUAAAAUUCCCUGGCUGCAGCAGCAGCAAAGCUGAUCCUGUGGGCCUAUUUUGAUGGGGGGCCUGGAGCUGCAGCUCCACCCGCCCCAUUGUUAAUCCGGCCCACUACAUGUGAUUCUUUACCAAGUCGUUUUUAUCUGAGUGGUGGGAGCAUAGAAAGAAACCUUUUUGUGAACGCGAAGGGUGAACACUAAUGUACAGAUCAGAAAGCUACUCCUCUGGGCAACACUUUCCGAAAAGAAAAUUAACCACGGUUUCCUGUUUGACCGGUUGCCAUGCCGACGCCCCGGAGAUUAUGCGCACACCACUGUCCAGAAGUGCGGGUGGCUAUGACACUGGUGAUGUAUACGUUGUCGGCAGAGUCUACUCCUAUCACUAACAACAUCCCAGAGGCCGAUUGCUAGGCAAAACGCCGCCAGAGAGGAGGGUGAUGCAGAGUGAUGUCAUCGGAAACAGGAAGUGCCGCUGACCGGAAGUGCGGGCAGCUCCGGCUCGGGGACCUGUGACUCACGUGUGAGAUGGAGAAGUUAAUUCAGGAAGGU
Molecule: long non-coding RNA, 668 nt
Organism: Pseudophryne corroboree (corroboree frog)
Lineage: Eukaryota; Metazoa; Chordata; Amphibia; Anura; Myobatrachidae
Exons: 3
Source: RefSeq, a predicted model, not a curated record